CUUUAAAAAAAAAUCAGCUGCAAGACGAUGCAUCAAUCACACACUGCCAGUCACUAAUAACUGGAAUUCUUGAUGCGAUCCAUUGUAGAUUUGAACAUAUGUUUGCUGACAACGAGCUUCAUUUGGCAACACUUACCGAUCCUUUCUUUAAAUUGUCCUGGUUGGAUAAUGAAGAUGAAAUUAGACGCGCCAAAAACUUACUAAAGGGAGAAUACGUUCGCUUUCAAUGAAUAUCCAAUGAGACCAAAUCAUGAGUUCAGUGACGGAACAUGUUCGUCAAUUUCAGAUCCUAGCCCGGAAAAGAAACCAAAAUGUACUAAGGAUUUCUUUGCAUCAAUUACAAAAAAAUACUAAGACCAAAGUUAUUGAUGAAGUGGAGACUUUUUAGAAGUUAUGUGGGAAUUUCGACGAUCUAAGGAAUUAUCCAACGAUUAUGAAGAUGUAUAAGCGAUAUAACGUGACUUUGUCAUCUUCGGCCGCAGUCGAGAGGCUGUUUAGUCAAGGGGGAUUAAUAUUUACCCCAAACGACUAUAGUUGACAGCAGUGUUUCGGAUUU
Daphnia magna is the source of this 556-nucleotide long non-coding RNA. RefSeq lists it as uncharacterized. Lineage: Eukaryota; Metazoa; Arthropoda; Branchiopoda; Diplostraca; Daphniidae. The transcript is spliced from 4 exons. The record is from RefSeq and is a predicted model, not a curated record.